This 538-nucleotide ribosomal RNA is filed under the name Klebsiella pneumoniae. RNAcentral describes it as "partial 23S ribosomal RNA". It matches the Rfam family "Bacterial large subunit ribosomal RNA", at positions 812 to 1347 of the family's 2925-position model. Lineage: Bacteria; Pseudomonadati; Pseudomonadota; Gammaproteobacteria; Enterobacterales; Enterobacteriaceae. The record is from RNAcentral.
UGGCUGGGGGUGAAAGGCCAAUCAAACCGGGAGAUAGCUGGUUCUCCCCGAAAGCUAUUUAGGUAGCGCCUCGUGAACUCAUCUUCGGGGGUAGAGCACUGUUUCGGCUAGGGGGUCAUCCCGACUUACCAACCCGAUGCAAACUACGAAUACCGAAGAAUGUUAUCACGGGAGACACACGGCGGGUGCUAACGUCCGUCGUGAAGAGGGAAACAACCCAGACCGCCAGCUAAGGUCCCAAAGUCAUGGUUAAGUGGGAAACGAUGUGGGAAGGCACAGACAGCCAGGAUGUUGGCUUAGAAGCAGCCAUCAUUUAAAGAAAGCGUAAUAGCUCACUGGUCGAGUCGGCCUGCGCGGAAGAUGUAACGGGGCUAAACCAUGCACCGAAGCUGCGGCAGCGACACUAUGUGUUGUUGGGUAGGGGAGCGUUCUGUAAGCCUGCGAAGGUGUGCUGUGAGGCAUGCUGGAGGUAUCAGAAGUGCGAAUGCUGACAUAAGUAACGAUAAAGCGGGUGAAAAGCCCGCUCGCCGGAAGACCA